UCAUUUUAAUUCAUAAUCUGAUUAUUUAAAUCUUCAACUCAGGAUCCAAAUUUGUCCAAAAUAAGCAGAUUAGUAAAUGCUAUGAUAUCCAGUCAUGUGCUUGAAGCAGUUUUCAAAUGCCCUUGAGGUCGAGGCUUCAAAGAAUUGUUCAUGACAUGUCCAAUUCACUUCUCAUUCACCUAUCAUAAGUGCCUUAGCAUUCAGUAUGUAAUAACUUAAAAUGGAAAGUCUUAAUUUGGGGGGGGGGGGGGGGCCUUUCCUGAUUCAAGAAUAUUUUUAUUGUGGGAAAUAUGUAAGAAGAAGAUAGUCCUGGCCGGGUUGCUCAAUUAAUUGGAACAUUGUCCCCUACACCAAAGUGUUGCAGGAUUUGAUUCCUGGUCAGGGCACAAACCUAGGUUGCAAGUUCAAUCCCCAGAACAUAUAAGGGAGG
Pipistrellus kuhlii (Kuhl's pipistrelle) is the source of this 430-nucleotide long non-coding RNA. RefSeq lists it as uncharacterized. NCBI's taxonomy places the organism in Eukaryota, Metazoa, Chordata, Mammalia, Chiroptera, Vespertilionidae. The transcript is spliced from 3 exons. The record is from RefSeq and is a predicted model, not a curated record.